Molecule: long non-coding RNA, 505 nt
Organism: Magallana angulata
Lineage: Eukaryota; Metazoa; Mollusca; Bivalvia; Ostreida; Ostreidae
Exons: 2
Source: RefSeq, a predicted model, not a curated record
CUGAACCUUAGUUUGAUCAGUGGUGGCUGCAAGAAGCAACAAUGGAUGUUAAAAACAGAAAAUAGCAGCAAAAAAAUUAUAAAAUUAAAGAUGCUGCUCAAUUAAAUCUGCAGCAACCUUCAUGUAUAUGGCGCCAUGGCUUUAAUUGGUUUAUGGUGAACAGUCGAGUUUUGAAAGGAUUCUCGCUGCAUGUUCUAUUUUAUCCCAGGGUCUGUGACCAGUGACAAGUUUGUGGCUGUUUGAUUUUAUUGUUGUCAGUAUAUAUAUUAACGUACGUAUAUAGUUACUGUAUACAUGGAAAUAUUCGCCCCCCCCCCUUUUUUUUCGCCCCUUUCGCCCUCGUUGUCAUCGGGCGAAUUAAAGACUGGGCGAAAACGAGGUUUAAAUUAUCUCUCUUUAAACAAACCAAAACUGUUUUCAGUGAAGAAGAGCAAAAACAUCGUAGAGCAAAAAUAACCCUGUUUAUAGUAUAUACAUGUAUUUGUCAUAAACCAUAAAAAUCUAU